Pogoniulus pusillus (Red-fronted tinkerbird) is the source of this 1686-nucleotide long non-coding RNA. RefSeq lists it as uncharacterized. NCBI's taxonomy places the organism in Eukaryota, Metazoa, Chordata, Aves, Piciformes, Lybiidae. The transcript is spliced from 3 exons. The record is from RefSeq and is a predicted model, not a curated record.
UGGAUCAGUGUGGGACACUGCAGUUUGUGUCUGCAAGUGUUGAGUGACACACAAGAAAUGAUGUUUGGCCAGAGGAAUUAUAUUCCAUGACAGUUUUUCUAUUUUUGUAGACCUAACAAAGUGGUGUGGUAGGCUUACAGCCCUGAAUCUCCUGCAGUGGAAGUAUAGGCUCUGACAGCUCUGUGCAGACAUCUCUGAUCUGGUAUCCUCCAUCAAGCACUACAGAAAUCUGUGGAACUGUAUGAAGGAUUAAUAGUUUGAAUUUGUGCUGGAUGCAAGGAAAAUGGUAGUUUAUCUUAGAAAUGGGUAAUACUGCAGCCUCUCUGACAGCACCGGGGAUAGAUGGGAGCCAACCAUAUGUCACUAUAGCAUUUACAUGUACCAAAGAGGUUAUGCUCACUAAGUCCCACUAAAACAGCAACAGAAAUGAGCAGAGGCUUUAUUUGUUGAUUUUAAAAUGUAAGUGCAUCAGAAGGUAUCAUAAAUAUCUUUAUUUGAGGAAAGUGAACAAUGAAAUCAUAUUUGAAGCGUACCAAUCUCCUUCAAUACUUUUUAAUUUUACUUGUUUAUUGUCUAAUGAAAUAUUUCCAGACUGAAAUGUAGUUGCCUCAUCAGUAGUUCUGCUGGUCUGUGCUGCAGCUGUUUGCUGUGUUAGAAAGUUUCUAAAAUCAGUAACCUGGUAUGACAAAAUUGCUCUUGAAUAACCUAAGUGAGUAUCUGUCAUUGCAGCCCAGCUUUUCCACAAGAACAUGUCAUUUUGCACUGUACUGUAAAACAACAGGUUCUAUAGUAAGGAUCAUCCAUGGCUAAUGAGAGUAGCAGACCUUCAGCAGGUUGUUCAGUGUAUCUAGGAAGACUAUUUUGCUGUUUCAGGUUUUAGUCAAGGUUCUGACUAUGUGUUAGUGAAUGUCUUCACUGUGAGAUGUAUAAUCCAAGCUUCCUCGCUGCUUCAGAAAUCCUUGGUCUUUUUUUACUGGGGAAAGGGUAGAAGUUUAGUUUGUUGCAGGCUGGCGUGCACUUCGUAGAAGGAAUAUGCUGAUGAGUCCAAACUGCUGAAGUGGCUGAUUUUGGAGGAGGCUUUUGGCAGGUGCUUGGAAUUUCGCUGCCAUUCUCUUUGCUGAAACCAUUCAACAUGCUUGAACUUCCCAGCUGUCUGCAUGCGGCUAGCUCACAAGCUCCUUCCAGUUCCGUGUGUUGCAGGGUGCCAUUUCCCUUUGGAAUCAGCCUCUGAUUGUCAAAGCAGCAUGGUCUGUUCUCGCACUGGGAAGGAUCCCAGGUAACUCCUGGAGAAGGAGUUUGCCCCAGGCGGUGAAUUCCCAGCACUGACCAUCGACUCUGGGAGAAUCGGCUCAUGUUCAUCUACAAGAGAAGUGCACACAGGCACAUUACUAUGGCAGUCAUUUCUGUGGCAUAAGCUCAGGAACUUGAACAGAGAUUCAAUUCUGUGAAGCUAAUUGAUAGAAACAUAAGAUCAACAUUCAGUGAAAUGAACAAUCCCCCAAAACAACAAAAAGGAAUCGGCAUGGUGCCUCUCUUGAAGCGGAGCGUAAGAAGAACAAAGCUGCAAGUUACUCAAGGUGUAAAGAAACAAUAUUUAAAUCUACAGUUGCAUCUUUUUCCUAUAAAUAUAAGCAUACCUGUUUUAAAUACAAUAAUGUGUGAUUGCAGCUUUUGCUUCUGUUUUAU